CAAAAUGUCCGCUCUCCAUUGGUGAGGGUUCAUAACUUGAGCCCAAUGCAAGUGAGGAGUCGGAGGACACCCCUUAAUUCUUAAGCUCCUCCAUUUUUGUGGGCAUGGAAGGAAGUAAGAGUGUGCUAGAGGUAGAAGAAAUUAUUCCCUCCAAAGACUUUGCUCUGCAUCGCCCACGCUGCCUGGGCAAGGAGGAGGAGCAUGCAAU
RNAcentral lists this long non-coding RNA (208 nucleotides) under Setaria viridis. RNAcentral's name for it is "long non-coding RNA (SVIR_LNC009730)". The record is from RNAcentral. Lineage: Eukaryota; Viridiplantae; Streptophyta; Magnoliopsida; Poales; Poaceae.